This 244-nucleotide long non-coding RNA is filed under the name Lathyrus oleraceus (garden pea). RNAcentral's name for it is "Pisum sativum (pea) long non-coding RNA (PSAT_LNC011825)". Lineage: Eukaryota; Viridiplantae; Streptophyta; Magnoliopsida; Fabales; Fabaceae. The record is from RNAcentral.
AUAAACAGAGAUGCCAAGGCACAAAGCCAAACUCAUAUGAGUCACACCUACAAAACAAAAGUUAGCACAAUAUAUAAUCCCACUCAAUCAAAUUUGAAUGAUCUUUGAGGCAUUGGUGCUUAACCUGAAACAACAGCUCAAUUGUAAGCUUACAAGACCACUAGGACUAGCCUAGGGUCAAAGAUGAAAGAAAGAAAAAAAAAAAGUCAAACAGCAAAGGAAGUCAACCCAAUUCAUAUUCAAA